AACGAACGCUGGCGGCGCGCCUAAUACAUGCAAGUCGAGCGAGAAGACGUAGCAAUACGUUUGUAAAGCGGCGAACGGGUGAGGAAUACAUGGGUAACCUACCCUCGAGUGGGGAAUAACUAGCCGAAAGGUUAGCUAAUACCGCGUACGCUCCUUGGACUUCGGUUCAGGGAGGAAAGCGAUACCGUGGGUAUCGCGCUCUUGGAUGGGCUCAUGUCCUAUCAGCUUGUUGGUGAGGUGAUGGCCUACCAAGGCGACGACGGGUAGCCGGCCUGAGAGGGCGACCGGCCACACUGGGACUGAGACACGGCCCAGACUCCUACGGGAGGCAGCAGUGGGGAAUCUUGCGCAAUGGGCGAAAGCCUGACGCAGCGACGCCGCGUGAGGGAUGACGG
Molecule: ribosomal RNA, 395 nt
Filed under: uncultured bacterium
Lineage: Bacteria
Description: bacterial SSU rRNA
Rfam family: Bacterial small subunit ribosomal RNA
Source: RNAcentral